UUACACAUGCAAGUCGAACGGCAGCACGGGAGCUUGCUCCUGGUGGCGAGUGGCGAACGGGUGAGUAAUAUAUCGGAACGUGCCCUAGAGUGGGGGAUAACUAGUCGAAAGAUUAGCUAAUACCGCAUACGAUCUACGGAUGAAAGUGGGGGAUCGCAAGACCUCAUGCUCGUGGAGCGGCCGAUAUCUGAUUAGCUAGUUGGUGAGGUAAAGGCUCACCAAGGCAUCGAUCAGUAGCUGGUCUGAGAGGACGACCAGCCACACUGGGACUGAGACACGGCCCAGACUCCUACGGGAGGCAGCAGUGGGGAAUUUUGGACAAUGGGGGCAACCCUGAUCCAGCAAUGCCGCGUGAGUGAAGAAGGCCUUCGGGUUGUAAAGCUCUUUUGUCAGGGAAGAAACGGUGAGGGCUAAUAUCCUUUGCUAAUGACGGUACCUGAAGAAUAAGCACCGGCUAACUACGUGCCAGCAGCCGCGGUAAUACGUAGGGUGCAAGCGUUAAUCGGAAUUACUGGGCGUAAAGCGUGCGCAGGCGGUUAUGCAAGACAGAUGUGAAAUCCCCGGGCUCAACCUGGGAAUUGCAUUUGUGACUGUAUGGCUAGAGUGUGUCAGAGGGGGGUAGAAUUCCACGUGUAGCAGUGAAAUGCGUAGAUAUGUGGAGGAAUACCGAUGGCGAAGGCAGCCCCCUGGGAUAACACUGACGCUCAUGCACGAA
Molecule: ribosomal RNA, 715 nt
Filed under: uncultured beta proteobacterium
Lineage: Bacteria; Pseudomonadati; Pseudomonadota; Betaproteobacteria
Description: bacterial SSU rRNA
Rfam family: Bacterial small subunit ribosomal RNA
Source: RNAcentral